UGCCUAAUACAUGCAAGUCGCACGCUAACAGGUCUUCGGAUGCUGACGAGUGGCGAACGGGUGAGUAAUACAUCGGAACGUGCCCGAUCGUGGGGGAUAACGAAGCGAAAGCUUUGCUAAUACCGCAUAAGAUCUACGGAUGAAAGCAGGGGACCGCAAGGCCUUGCGCGAACGGAGCGGCCGAUGGCAGAUUAGGUAGUUGGUGGGAUAAAAGCUUACCAAGCCGACGAUCUGUAGCUGGUCUGAGAGGACGACCAGCCACACUGGGACUGAGACACGGCCCAGACUCCUACGGGAGGCAGCAGUGGNGAAUUUUGGACAAUGGGCGAAAGCCUGAUCCAGCCAUGCCGCGUGCAGGAUGAAGGCCUUCGGGUUGUAAACUGCUUUUGUACGGAACGAAAAGACUCUGGUUAAUACCUGGGGUCCAUGACGGUACCGUAAGAAUAAGCACCGGCUAACUACGUGCCAGCAGCCGCGGUAAUACGUAGGGUGCAAGCGUUAAUCGGAAUUACUGGGCGUACAGCGAGCCCAGGCGGCUAUAUAAGACAGAUGUGAAAUCCCCGGGCUCAACCUGGGAACUGCAUUUGUGACUGUAUAGCUAGAGUACGGCAGACGGGGAUGGAAUUCCGCGU
RNAcentral lists this ribosomal RNA (632 nucleotides) under Acidovorax sp. MG62. RNAcentral describes it as "bacterial SSU rRNA". It matches the Rfam family "Bacterial small subunit ribosomal RNA", at positions 45 to 674 of the family's 1533-position model. Lineage: Bacteria; Pseudomonadati; Pseudomonadota; Betaproteobacteria; Burkholderiales; Comamonadaceae. The record is from RNAcentral.